CAUUACCGAGUUUACAACUCCCAAACCCAAUGUGAACGUUACCAAACUGUUGCCUCGGCGGGAUCUCUGCCCCGGGUGCGUCGCAGCCCCGGACCAAGGCGCCCGCCGGAGGACCAACCAAAACUCUUUUUGUAUACCCCCUCGCGGGUUUUUUUUAUAAUCUGAGCCUUCUCGGCGCCUCUCGUAGGCGUUUCGAAAAUGAAUCAAAACUUUCAACAACGGAUCUCUUGGUUCUGGCAUCGAUGAAGAACGCAGCGAAAUGCGAUAAGUAAUGUGAAUUGCAGAAUUCAGUGAAUCAUCGAAUCUUUGAACGCACAUUGCGCCCGCCAGUAUUCUGGCGGGCAUGCCUGUCCGAGCGUCAUUUCAACCCUCGAACCCCUCCGGGGGGUCGGCGUUGGGGAUCGGCCCUGCCUCUUGGCGGUGGCCGUCUCCGAAAUACAGUGGCGGUCUCGCCGCAGCCUCUCCUGCGCAGUAGUUUGCACACUCGCAUCGGGAGCGCGGCGCGUCCACAGCCGUUAAACACCCAACUUCUGAAAUGUUGACCUCGGAUCAGGUAGGAAUACCCGCUGAACUUAAGCAUAU
This 582-nucleotide ribosomal RNA is filed under the name Trichoderma harzianum. RNAcentral's name for it is "eukaryotic LSU rRNA". The stretch from base 208 to 361 matches the Rfam family "5.8S ribosomal RNA". The record is from RNAcentral. Lineage: Eukaryota; Fungi; Ascomycota; Sordariomycetes; Hypocreales; Hypocreaceae.